GUAGUACUCCCUCCGUCCCAAAAUUCUUGUCAUAAAUUUGUCUAGAUACGGAUGUACCUAAUACUAAAAUGUGACUUGAUACAUCCAUAUUUAGACAAAUCUAAGACAAGAAUUUUGGGACAGAGGGAGUACUUG
Non-coding RNA from Triticum urartu, 135 nucleotides. The record is from Rfam. Lineage: Eukaryota; Viridiplantae; Streptophyta; Magnoliopsida; Poales; Poaceae.